Molecule: long non-coding RNA, 1692 nt
Filed under: Columba livia (rock pigeon)
Lineage: Eukaryota; Metazoa; Chordata; Aves; Columbiformes; Columbidae
Description: partial uncharacterized LOC102091534
Source: RNAcentral
CCCUCCUUCCCCUCCAGCAGCCCCCCCCCGGGGUGUACGUGUGUGUGCUGUGACCCCCCAGCCCGGGCUGACCCCCGGGUGGUGGAGGGGUGGGUGAGGAGGAGAAAAGCGGGGGGGGACCGGGCACUUCUGCAGGCGCAGCCCUUUCACAUCAAGAGAUUGGCUAUAAGGAGAAGGCUGACGGCUGCAGCAUGAAGCGCAUUAUUACCUUGUGAUUCCAUGACCCUCCUCUAUGCAUCCCUAACUCUCGAAAGCUGAUUCAGCUUUCAGCUAGUGCUCUGGUGAGUCCUCUGCUGCAACAGAAGCUCCUAACUGUUCUUUGCGCUGGUGGCCUUUCUGGAGGAAGAGAAACUUGGACUUGGUGGGCUGGAACAGACACUGGAGAGCAUGGAGAAGCAUGGAAAUCCAUCAGCAUCCAUCCCCAUCUCUGGCACAAGGGAGAAAAUGAAGAUGCUGAGACAUGAGCUAAUGAACACACCAAGGGAAGUGAGGACAAGAAUGUUAAUUGCCUGUACAGCAGUGCCGCGAGUCUGAGCAAUAAAAAAAAAGUGGGAACGACUAAUUUAUGAGUGCAAAUUCUAUCUGGAGAGCAUGACUUAAAACUUGGGGAGAAAAUCCAUGUGCCUGGAAUAUUAAAAUCAAUAGUUGUAACCUAUUUAGAAAGAAUUGAGUGGGCAAAGAAGGUGCAGGAGGGGCAAUCAGUAUCGUAAGUGACAUUGCUGUGUUACAAGCACUGCUAGAAACCUAAGAGAAAGUGACCUCAAACACAAAUAAAAGCCAAAAGAAGAUGCUUCUUCAGAUCAUCAAACCUCAUGGACUCCUUAGUCACACAUCUAUGUAACAAUUAAGAAAAUUUCCCUCUGCUGUCCUAGAAAACAUCAACCUGAGUGAAGUGAGCUGGAGGGCUCAUGCUGCUGGUUUUUGGAAUUUCUAAAUGUCGUAGAAGGUGAUUUCCCAACCAAAACCAGGAGGGUCCUCUUCGGGAUCAUCAGGGCAGCUGGAGAACUGAUCACAGAUCCAAAAACUAUCUACAGCCAGCACAAAGGUGACCCCAUUUCAAUCAUAGGUGCUGGGCACAGACAGCAGAAAGCCUGAGCUGGGAGUAGGUCCCUUUGGUUAUCAGCCUCAUAAGCCAGGUCAGCCAGAGGAUUUUAAACAGAAAACAUGAAUGAUAUUUGGCAACUCUUUGUUUAAAAGCAUUCUGGAUUCUCAGGAAUCUAGUAAAGCCUCAGCAUUGAGAAAGAGGAGGUUAUUCUGGUUAAAAAUAGAAGUUCAAAGGGGAGUGAGAGCAGUUUAAAAUCACCCAAAGGAAGGGAAAGUGGAUAAUGAGGAAGGAAAACCAGCCCCAAGCAGAAGGCUGGUAGGUGAAACCCAUGGCCAGCAGAGCUGAGAGCAGUAGGGGAGCGAUCUUUAGAUAUAAGAGACUAAAAGUAGUUGUCUAGACAGAAUAGCAGACAUUAAAAAAAGAAUGCACAAAAGGCAGACACUAAAUAUUUAAUUUCUCUAUUUUAGGGGCAAAAAAAGCUAAGUGAAGUAGCAAUAUAAUCUGAUGUAAUCCGACUCAGGAUGUUAAACAGCCACUACUACAGCUAGAGGAAUUUCGUUGAUCGGCAGCCAUCAAUAUUCAGUGCCUGGAAGGUUUAAAAUCUGUCCUGGGCCGGCAGCAUCUGCAGGGCCAGGAGUUUUCCAGAA